GGGAAUGCAGCUCUAAAUGGGUGGUAAAUUUCAUCUAAAGCUAAAUAUGGGCCAGAGACCGAUAGCGCACAAGUAGAGUGAUCGAAAGAUGAAAAGCACUUUGAAAAGAGAGUUAAACAGUAUGUGAAAUUGUUGAAAGGGAAGCGCUGGCAACCAGACUUGCGCGGGACGGUUCCCCCGGUCCUCUGACCGGGCUACUCCGUCCCGGACAGGCCAGCAUCGGUUCGGGUGGUCGGUGAAAGGCCCCGGGAAUGUAUCUACCUUCGGGUCGACUUAUAGCCCGGGGUGCAACGCGGCCCACCGGGACCGAGGAACGCGCUCCGGCACGGAUGCUGGCGUAAUGGUUGUCAGCGGCCCGUCUUGAAACACGGACCAAGGAGUCUAACAUCUGUGCGAGUGUUUGGGUGUCAAACCCCGGCGCGGAAUGAAAGUGAACGGUGGUGAGAACCCCGCCCGGGGCGCAUUAUCGACCGAUCCUGAUGUCUUCGGAUGGAUUUGAGUAAGAGCAUGGCUGUUGGGACCCGAAAGAUGGUGAACUAUGCCUGGAUAGGGUGAAGCCAGAGGAAACUCUGGUGGAGGCUCGCAGCGGUUCUGACGUGCAAAUCGAUCGUCAAAUCUGGGUAUAGGGGCGAAAGACCAAUCGAACCAUCUGGUAGCUGGUUCCUGCCGAAGUUUCCCUCAGGAUAGCAGUAACGUGUUCAGUUUUAUGAGGUAAAGCGAAUGAUUAGAGGCCUGGGGGUUGAAACAACCUUCACCUAUUCUCAAACUUUAAAUAUGUAAGAAGUCC
This 787-nucleotide ribosomal RNA is filed under the name Heteroplacidium congestum. RNAcentral describes it as "LSU rRNA". It matches the Rfam family "Eukaryotic large subunit ribosomal RNA", at positions 276 to 1083 of the family's 3401-position model. Lineage: Eukaryota; Fungi; Ascomycota; Eurotiomycetes; Verrucariales; Verrucariaceae. The record is from RNAcentral.